UACGUAGGUGGCGAGCGUUAUCCGGAAUUACUGGGUGUAAAGGGAGCGCAGGCGGGGCGACAAGUCAGCUGUGAAAACUAUGGGCUUAACUCAUAGACUGCAGUUGAAACUGUUGCUCUUGAGUGGAGUAGAGGCAAGCGGAAUUCCGAGCGUAGCGGUGAAAUGCGUAGAUAUUCGGAGGAACACCAGUGGCGAAGGCGGCUUGCUGGGCUCUAACUGACGCUGAGGCUCGAAAGUGUGGGGAGCGAACAGGAUUA
This 257-nucleotide ribosomal RNA is filed under the name uncultured prokaryote. RNAcentral describes it as "partial 16S ribosomal RNA". It matches the Rfam family "Bacterial small subunit ribosomal RNA", at positions 524 to 780 of the family's 1533-position model. The record is from RNAcentral.